Molecule: transfer RNA, 74 nt
Filed under: Camelus bactrianus (Bactrian camel)
Lineage: Eukaryota; Metazoa; Chordata; Mammalia; Artiodactyla; Camelidae
Also listed under: 1 other name
Rfam family: tRNA
About the family: Transfer RNA (tRNA) molecules are approximately 80 nucleotides in length.
Source: Rfam by way of RNAcentral
GAGGGUACAGCUCAAAGUAGUAGAGUGCAUGCUUAGCAUGCAGGAGGUCCUGGGUUCAAUCCCCAGUACUUCCU